AUCCAGCUGACGAGUCCCAAGUAGAAUGAAACGCGCGUCCUGGAU
RNAcentral lists this non-coding RNA (45 nucleotides) under Schistosoma haematobium. The record is from RNAcentral. Lineage: Eukaryota; Metazoa; Platyhelminthes; Trematoda; Strigeidida; Schistosomatidae.